GGAUCGAUGAUGACACCCUCACAUGCAUUCCUUGGAAAAUCUGAACAA
Molecule: small nucleolar RNA, 48 nt
Organism: Moschus moschiferus (Siberian musk deer)
Lineage: Eukaryota; Metazoa; Chordata; Mammalia; Artiodactyla; Moschidae
Gene: SNORD116
Rfam family: Small nucleolar RNA SNORD116
About the family: HBII-85 is a member of the C/D class of snoRNAs, which contain the C (UGAUGA) and D (CUGA) box motifs. HBII-85 is encoded in a tandemly repeated array with another C/D snoRNA, HBII-52, in the Prader-Willi syndrome (PWS) region of chromosome 15. Unlike most other snoRNAs, HBII-85 is expressed prevalently in the brain (but is absent in PWS patients) and lacks any significant complementarity with ribosomal RNA.
Source: Ensembl